AAUGAACGUUGGCGGCGUGGAUUAGGCAUGCAAGUCGAGCGAGAACCGUAGCAAUACGGGGACAGCGGCGAAAGGGAGAGUAAUACGUGGAUACCUACCCUCGGGUUCGGGAUAGCUGCGGGAAACUGCAGGUAAUACCGAAUAACAUCUCCGGAUCAAAGGUGUGAUUCCGCCCGGGGAGGGGUCCGCGUCCUAUUAGCUUGUUGGUGAGGUAACGGCUCACCAAGGCGAAGAUGGGUACGGGGUGUGAGAGCAUGCCCCCGCUCACUGGGACUGAGACACUGCCCAGACACCUACGGGUGGCUGCAGGCGAGAAUCUUCGGCAAUGGGCGCAAGCCUGACCGAGCGAGGCCGCGUGCGAGAUGAAGGCCUUCGGGUUGUAAAUCGCUGUCAGUGGGGAGGAAAUGCCAUAGGGUCCUCUCUAUGGUUUGACCUAUCCGCAGAGGAAGGAUGGGCUAAGUUCGUGCCAGCCGCCGCGGUAA
This 482-nucleotide ribosomal RNA is filed under the name uncultured bacterium. RNAcentral describes it as "partial 16S ribosomal RNA". It matches the Rfam family "Bacterial small subunit ribosomal RNA", at positions 28 to 523 of the family's 1533-position model. The record is from RNAcentral.